RNAcentral lists this ribosomal RNA (191 nucleotides) under uncultured bacterium. Its description in RNAcentral is "partial 16S ribosomal RNA". It matches the Rfam family "Bacterial small subunit ribosomal RNA", at positions 358 to 541 of the family's 1533-position model. The record is from RNAcentral.
GGAANAUUGGUCAAUGGGCGCNAGCCUGAACCAGCCAAGUAGCGUGAAGGAUGAAGGCUCUAUGGGUCGUAAACUUCUUUUAUAUAAGAAUAAAGUGCAGUAUGUAUACUGUUUUGUAUGUAUUAUAUGAAUAAGGAUCGGCUAACUAACUCCGGGCCAGCAGCCGCGGUAAUACAUAAAAAANNGUNUNC